RNAcentral lists this ribosomal RNA (705 nucleotides) under Mycolicibacterium gilvum. RNAcentral describes it as "bacterial SSU rRNA". It matches the Rfam family "Bacterial small subunit ribosomal RNA", at positions 62 to 784 of the family's 1533-position model. Lineage: Bacteria; Bacillati; Actinomycetota; Actinomycetes; Mycobacteriales; Mycobacteriaceae. The record is from RNAcentral.
UCGAACGGAAAGGCCCUUCGGGGUACUCGAGUGGCGAACGGGUGAGUAACACGUGGGUGAUCUGCCCUGCACUUUGGGAUAAGCCUGGGAAACUGGGUCUAAUACCGAAUAGGACCGCAUGCUUCAUGGUGUGUGGUGGAAAGCUUUUGCGGUGUGGGAUGGGCCCGCGGCCUAUCAGCUUGUUGGUGAGGUAAUGGCUUACCAAGGCGACGACGGGUAGCCGGCCUGAGAGGGUGACCGGCCACACUGGGACUGAGAUACGGCCCAGACUCCUACGGGAGGCAGCAGUGGGGAAUAUUGCACAAUGGGCGCAAGCCUGAUGCAGCGACGCCGCGUGAGGGAUGACGGCCUUCGGGUUGUAAACCUCUUUCGCCAGGGACGAAGCGCAAGUGACGGUACCUGGAGAAGAAGGACCGGCCAACUACGUGCCAGCAGCCGCGGUAAUACGUAGGGUCCGAGCGUUGUCCGGAAUUACUGGGCGUAAAGAGCUCGUAGGUGGUUUGUCGCGUUGUUCGUGAAAACUCACAGCUUAACUGUGGGCGUGCGGGCGAUACGGGCAGACUUGAGUACUGCAGGGGAGACUGGAAUUCCUGGUGUAGCGGUGGAAUGCGCAGAUAUCAGGAGGAACACCGGUGGCGAAGGCGGGUCUCUGGGCAGUAACUGACGCUGAGGAGCGAAAGCGUGGGGAGCGAACAGGAUUAGAUA